CCUACGGGGGGCAGCAGUGGGGAAUAUUGGACAAUGGGGGCAACCCUGAUCCAGCCAUGCCGCGUGUGUGAAGAAGGCCCUCGGGGUGUAAAGCACUUUCAGUGAGGAAGAACGCCUGGUGGUUAAUACCCAUCAGGAAAGACAUCACUCACAGAAGAAGCACCGGCUAACUCCGUGCCAGCAGCCGCGGUAAUACGGAGGGUGCGAGCGUUAAUCGGAAUUACUGGGCGUAAAGCGCGCGUAGGUGGCUUGAUAAGCCGGUUGUGAAAGCCCCGGGCUCAACCUGGGAACGGCAUCCGGAACUGUCCAGCUAGAGUGCAGGAGAGGAAGGUAGAAUUCCCGGUGUAGCGGUGAAAUGCGUAGAGAUCGGGAGGAAUACCAGUGGCGAAGGCGGCCUUCUGGACUGACACUGACACUGAGGUGCGAAAGCGUGGGUAGCAAACAGGAUUAGAUACCCUUGUAGUC
RNAcentral lists this ribosomal RNA (465 nucleotides) under Vreelandella stevensii. RNAcentral describes it as "partial 16S ribosomal RNA". It matches the Rfam family "Bacterial small subunit ribosomal RNA", at positions 338 to 795 of the family's 1533-position model. The record is from RNAcentral. Lineage: Bacteria; Pseudomonadati; Pseudomonadota; Gammaproteobacteria; Oceanospirillales; Halomonadaceae.